CAGCUAAAUAAAUCCAGGCUUAAUCACACAGUCUUGGGACCUUGGCCUCCCUUGCCCAUCUCAAGGGUUCCAUUGGGAAAAUGUUCAUCAGUGACGUAUCUAGACCAGUACCAGUGUGAUUUCCAGACUUGUCCCAUCUCUUCAAUUGGAAUUCCCUUUGUCUCAGGCAAGAAAUAAUAAACAAAGAUGGACAUCACCAACACAAAGAAUGCAAAGAAGAGGAAAAGCCCAAAUUUUAAGUGGCAAAGCAUUGUUAGGAAAACUUGAGCUACUAUAAAUGUAAAGAGCAUGUUCACUGAAACAUUGACACUCUGAGCAGCAGAUCGGAUUUCGAGUGGGAAAAUUUCACUGGGAACCAACCAGCCAAGAGGACCCCAA
Molecule: unclassified non-coding RNA, 378 nt
Filed under: Hevea brasiliensis (rubber tree)
Lineage: Eukaryota; Viridiplantae; Streptophyta; Magnoliopsida; Malpighiales; Euphorbiaceae
Source: RNAcentral